Molecule: small RNA, 331 nt
Filed under: uncultured bacterium
Lineage: Bacteria
Description: bacterial SSU rRNA
Rfam family: Bacterial small subunit ribosomal RNA
Source: RNAcentral
UUACACAUGCAAGUCGAACGGCAGCACGGGGGCAACCCUGGUGGCGAGUGGCGAACCGGUGAGUAAUAUAUCGGAACGUACCCGGAAAUGGGGGAUAACGUAGCGAAAGUUACGCUAAUACCGCAUAUGCCCUGAGGGGGAAAGUGGGGGAUCGCAAGACCUCACGUUUUCGGAGCGGCCGAUAUCGGAUUAGCUAGUUGGUUAGGUAAAGGCUGACCAAGGCGACGAUCCGUAGCUGGUCUGAGAGGACGACCAGCCACACUGGAACUGAGACACGGUCCAGACUCCUACGGGAGGCAGCAGUGGGACUCCUACGGGAGGCAGCAGUGGG